RNAcentral lists this ribosomal RNA (259 nucleotides) under uncultured bacterium. Its description in RNAcentral is "partial 16S ribosomal RNA". It matches the Rfam family "Bacterial small subunit ribosomal RNA", at positions 96 to 354 of the family's 1533-position model. The record is from RNAcentral.
UGGCGGACGGGUGAGUAACGCGUGGGCAACCUGCCCUGUACAGGGGGACAACACUUAGAAAUAGGUGCUAAUACCGCAUAACGGGGGAGCCGCAUGGCACCCCCCUUGAAAACUCCGGUGGUACAGGAUGGGCCCGCGUCUGAUUAGCUGGUUGGCAGGGGUAACGGGCCUACCAAGGCGACGAUCAGUAGCCGGCCUGAGAGGGCGGACGGCCACACUGGGACUGAGACACGGCCCAGACUCCUACGGGAGGCAGCAG